AGCUCGAGUUUCUCUUCAUUAUCGCAUAAAUCUUUCUCCUUUUCCUAAAGAUUUCCGUGGAGGGGAAAUUUUUGCGAGUGAUCUGUAUAUUUGAAGGCUCUGAUCACAGCAGAGCU
RNAcentral lists this small nuclear RNA (116 nucleotides) under Sinocyclocheilus rhinocerous. RNAcentral describes it as "U5 spliceosomal RNA (ENSSRHG00000028012.1)". It matches the Rfam family "U5 spliceosomal RNA". From Rfam's summary of the family: U5 RNA is a component of both types of known spliceosome. The precise function of this molecule is unknown, though it is known that the 5' loop is required for splice site selection and p220 binding, and that both the 3' stem-loop and the Sm site are important for Sm protein binding and cap methylation. Lineage: Eukaryota; Metazoa; Chordata; Actinopteri; Cypriniformes; Cyprinidae. The record is from Rfam by way of RNAcentral.